Molecule: ribosomal RNA, 1028 nt
Filed under: Stagonospora tauntonensis
Lineage: Eukaryota; Fungi; Ascomycota; Dothideomycetes; Pleosporales; Massarinaceae
Description: SSU rRNA
Rfam family: Eukaryotic small subunit ribosomal RNA
Source: RNAcentral
UUAUACCGUGAAACUGCGAAUGGCUCAUUAAAUCAGUUAUCGUUUAUUUGAUAGUACCUUACUACUUGGAUACCUGUGGUAAUUCUAGAGCUAAUACAUGCUAAAAACCCCGACUUCGGAAGGGGUGUAUUUAUUAGAUAAAAAACCAAUGCCCUUCGGGGCUCCUUGGUGAUUCAUAAUAACUUCUCAGAUCGCAUGGCCUUGCGCCGGCGACGGUUCAUUCAAAUUUCUGCCCUAUCAACUUUCGAUGGUAAGGUAUUGGCUUACCAUGGUGGCAACGGGUAACGGGGAAUUAGGGUUCGAUUCCGGAGAGUUAGCCUGAGAAACGGCUAACACAUCCAAGGAAGGCAGCAGGCGCGCAAAUUACCCAAUCCCGAUACGGGGAGGUAGUGACAAUAAAUACUGAUACAGGGCUCUUUUGGGUCUUGUAAUUGGAAUGAGUACAAUUUAAACCUCUUAACGAGGAACAAUUGGAGGGCAAGUCUGGUGCCAGCAGCCGCGGUAAUUCCAGCUCCAAUAGCGUAUAUUAAAGUUGUUGCAGUUAAAAAGCUCGUAGUUGAACCUUUGGCCUGGCUGGCAGGUCCGCCUCACCGCGUGCACUUGUCCGGCCGGGCCUUUUCUUCUGGAGAACCGCAUGCCCUUCACUGGGUGUGUUGGGGACCAGGACUUUUACUUUGAAAAAAUUAGAGUGUUCAAAGCAGGCCUUUGCUCGAAUAUUACAGCAUGGAAUAAUAGAAUAGGACGUGCGGUUCUAUUUUGUUGGUUUCUAGGACCGCCGUAAUGAUUAAUAGGGACAGUCGGGGGCAUCAGUAUUCAAUUGUCAGAGGUGAAAUUCUUGGAUUUAUUGAAGACUAACUACUGCGAAAGCAUUUGCCAAGGAUGUUUUCAUUAAUCAGUGAACGAAAGUUAGGGGAUCGAAGACGAUCAGAUACCGUCGUAGUCUUAACCAUAAACUAUGCCGACUAGGGAUCGGGCGGUGUUAUUAUUUUGACUCGCUCGGCACCUUACGAGAAAUCAAAGUGUUUGGG